GACGGGAGGGACAAGCAUUAUCCAUCUUGGCUAGGCGUACAGGGCAUCUAGACGGUAUGGCCAGGGCUUUUAGCGAAACACCUGUAGCUCACAGGAAGCGGAAAGUACAACUACCAAACUAGAGUUCGAGAAAGGUGUUGGGAGAAUACUUGGAGUAGGAGUGACAUCCACACAAAACGAGUGGAAUUCCAGUGGUGAAGACACCCAGCAACUACGAACUGACGUUCAUGAUGCGAAGGCAUGGGGAUCAAAUGGG
Molecule: ribosomal RNA, 256 nt
Filed under: uncultured bacterium
Lineage: Bacteria
Description: partial 16S ribosomal RNA
Rfam family: Bacterial small subunit ribosomal RNA
Source: RNAcentral